Molecule: long non-coding RNA, 1658 nt
Organism: Equus asinus (donkey)
Lineage: Eukaryota; Metazoa; Chordata; Mammalia; Perissodactyla; Equidae
Source: Ensembl
AGCUGCUCCUACUUUGCUGCUCUCUCUGCUCUCAGAUUUCGUCUUUGUUGGCCCCUUAGCUCUGCCUUUUACUCUUCUGACCCUAAAACACGUGUUCCCGUGGGAGGAAAGGAGAACUGACUGAAAAGCUCCCGGUCUCCCGGAGGUGGUGCUGGGUGCUUCAUGCGUGCUCUCUUCAAACAUUAACCUUAUUUCUCUUCUCUUCCAAAGUUUGUUGAACUCUGUUUCCCCUUUUUAUUUCUGAGAUUUUCAGAAUUUUUUCUAAAGAUUCAAUUUUAAGUGAAGAUUUCUAGUGAUAUCCUUAAAAGGAAGAAAUCGGUUUCAGGAUGCAACUCACAGGUCCAUUCCAGAAGGUCAGGAGGUGCAGACGAGUUGAGCUGUUGACUCAGCUGAGACAUGCUCCUAACAUCGUCCUGCUUAAGUGCACGCAUCUUUUCAAGUGCAGCUAACUUACAGCCCAAGACAGAGGUCUGAUUUUUACAGAAGCUCCAAGAACUUCAUGGAGUUUUGUCCUCAAAGCAGACAGGGACGUGGGGCAGCUGCAGGAGAACGGGAGGAGGAGAGGCCGACGGCGCCGGGCGCAUGCGGAACGAGCGGGUGCCCACCCCAGGGCCCCGCCUUGUGUCUGUGACUCUGCUCUCUAAAGGCUGGCUGUGGAGUGAGACCACGUCAUUCAUUAUCAGCUGGCUUAUCUCCCUCUUGGUUUAUUUGUAGAAAGUUUCCGAAGCGUAUCUGUGAACCCUUAUUCCAUGGGAUGUCAACAAGUGUUACACACACACACACACACACACACACACAAACAGAAAAAACAACUAUCCACAGUCAAAUAAGCUUCUUUACUGCAGAAUUCUCAGGAAUUCUAGGAUCCCAGGCACACUGCGAAUCAGCACGAGAGGAACCCUGAGUGGACACGCUCAUGUUUACUGGUGAUGACGCUUUUUUCUGCAGAACAUCUGACAGGAACAGCACUGCCUGGAAGGAAGCUCAGGAAACACAGGCUUAGCUUCCUCUCUAAAUCAGUUUAUUCUCUUGUGGAUACCAGGGAUGGCAAGGAAGAUGCUUCAUCACGUAGAACAGAGAAGAAAGUGGUUCUGGGAUUAAACUGUUGUUAUAGGGAACUCACAGAACGGCCAAUUCACGCGGACAAAAUCUCUGAGAACUGACAGUUACCGUUGUGUAACUUCAUAAUGGGAUGGCGAGGAUGGGCCCUGGGCUCGUUUUUAUAUACACUGUGAAAGUUGGCAAUAGCAAUCUAUCCCUCGGUAUUUUAGAUCAAUUAUGUAAAGUUAGAAUCAUUUCGAUUUCAUUUCUCUCAAUCCACCAGACCUGAUUUUUAAAAAUUCAAGAUUCACUCAUUUGAUUUAAGUAUCACUAGUGUGAAGUAUUUCCAUCCUCCUUCUACUGGAAGCGAAUUUCCCGGUUAGGACACGGCUUCACUAGAGACGAGUAACAGCGGCUGUAACUGGAUGCUGUGUGAUUUCAUCACGCUGUGAAAACACUUCGACCAGUCCAAAUUGGUCUAUGAAGGUUUCUUUCUGUUUGUUCCAGUUCCAGCUCUCCUAAUCACUCCAGCUCCUGUGUUUGCUGGGAUUUUGUGAUAUCUCUGGAUUCUGACACAUGCUAUGAUUCAGUGCCAAAUUCCAUUUCCUAAGUUAUUG